ACACUCUUGAUUAAGACAGUGUGAAGCAAAACCAAUUUAUGGUGCCAACAAGAGCUCCAUCAAAGGAGUUCAACCAUAAUUCUCAAAAGCUUCACACACUCUUGAUCAAGACAGUGUGAAGUAAAACCAAUUUAUGGUGCCAACAAGAGCUUCAUCAAUGGAGGGCAACCACAAUUCUCAAAAGCUUUACACACUCUUGAUCAAAACAGUGUGAAGCAAAACCAAUUUAUGGUGCCAACAACCAGAGCUUAAUCAAUGGAGGGCAACCACAAUUCUCAAAAA
This 282-nucleotide long non-coding RNA is filed under the name Malus domestica (apple). Its description in RNAcentral is "long non-coding RNA (MDOM_LNC018376)". Lineage: Eukaryota; Viridiplantae; Streptophyta; Magnoliopsida; Rosales; Rosaceae. The record is from RNAcentral.